RNAcentral lists this ribosomal RNA (497 nucleotides) under uncultured bacterium. RNAcentral describes it as "partial 16S ribosomal RNA". It matches the Rfam family "Bacterial small subunit ribosomal RNA", at positions 28 to 506 of the family's 1533-position model. The record is from RNAcentral.
GAUGAACGCUGGCGGCGUGCCUAAUACAUGCAAGUCGAGCGAACAGAUAAGGAGCUUGCUCCUUUGACGUUAGCGGCGGACGGGUGAGUAACACGUGGGUAACCUACCUAUAAGACUGGGAUAACUUCGGGAAACCGGAGCUAAUACCGGAUAACAUUUGGAACCGCAUGGUUCUAAAGUGAAAGAUGGUUUUGCUAUCACUUAUAGAUGGACCCGCGCCGUAUUAGCUAGUUGGUAAGGUAACGGCUUACCAAGGCGACGAUACGUAGCCGACCUGAGAGGGGUGGUCGCCCACAUGGGAACUGAGAAACGGCCCGAACCCCAAGGGGGGGCAGCGGAGGGAAAUUUUCGCAAAUGGGCGAAAGCCGAACGGGGCAACCCCGGGGGGGUGAUGAGGGGUUUCGGCCGGUAAAACUCUGUUAUUAGGAAAAAAAAAAGGGGAAAGUAACGGGGACCGUUUUGAGGGACCCAAUAAAAAAAGCACGGGCAAACACCGG